RNAcentral lists this unclassified non-coding RNA (6539 nucleotides) under Leishmania donovani. Its description in RNAcentral is "gene:LdHU3.16.1680(CDS-product:hypothetical_prote in_conserved)". Lineage: Eukaryota; Euglenozoa; Kinetoplastea; Trypanosomatida; Trypanosomatidae. The record is from RNAcentral.
UGCUUCCGGCUUCACGCAAGACCAUCUGUAGCUGGUUUCGAACUAGCUCAGAUCGACGCCCUCUCCUCUUCUCUCCGCUCGCACAGCUUUGCCUUUCUCUCUCCAGUGUUCCUGUCGGCGCCGCUGCUCACAUCGGCGCCCGUAACAGCUUCGCAGCAGCGGCGACGUUGCGUGCAAGAUCACCGCGAUACGUUCUUCUCUCCCAUUAGGUGUACGCUCGCACACAUACACCGGCGGACGGAGCACGACAGCGAUACAGAGAAGUGAAGGCAUCGCAGGCCCCACGUCCACCCCUCCCCCCGCACGCGGAUUGAAGAGGCAGCACAGCAAGAACGACGACUCGAAAAGAAGGGGGUCGGUGGUGCUGCGGUACCGUUGCUCCCGCCUGCCCACACACGCGCAGACUGAGGUGGGGAGGGGGGGGCGCUACUCUCUCUCUCUCUUCCCUCUCCACACCAUUCUUCGCGCAGUUGCGUAGCGCGGAGAGGACGAGGAGAAAGAGGGGCAGCGUGUGCGUUUUGCUUUCGCUGCUGCUGGUGCUGCGGCUGCGGAUGCCGUCGUUGUCGUGGUGACUUGCUAUCAAUCUCAUUUUCCCAUUACUUCUGUCGCUUGGGCUCUCCCCUCUCCUCCACCAUCACCAUCAUCACCCUUCGUGUCGUUGUUGUUUUGGAGGGAAGGGGGCAGUGCGUUCUUUGUUCGUCUUCUUCCUCCCUCCCUCCCUCCCUCCCCCCUCGUGUUUCCUUUCUUCGCUCGUGUGUUUCGCGCUGGACGUGCGUCGUGCAGGACGAGAGAUGUGCGUGGCAACGGCAGCAUCUCGCUGUAACCUCUGAUUCUUUGUUUCCUCGGCACAUCCACGUCCCACAUCCACGUCCACAUCCACUCUCAGUCUCUGUCCUUCCCUCUCUAUUUCUUUGCUCUGCUUGAGCUCUCCGUUGUUGUUUCGCUCGUUUCACGCUCGGACGUGCUACCCCCUCCCCCUCCUCUCUUCUUCCCCUCCUUUUCUCUGUCUCUCUCCUCCCUCCCUUCCUCCAAGCGUGCCUGCACAUCUCGCUGCUGCUGCUACGACGGUUGCGGCGAGUCGGUGCUGGCCGUGUCGACGGAAUAGGUGCGGAGCUCGCCUACUGACAUUCUCUCUUCCUUUCUGUCGCUCUUCCCUCCCUCCCUCCCUUCUCCAUCCGUGCACAAGCAUUGUUCCCUUAUCCUGUGUGUAUGUGUGUUGGCUAGUUUUCAAGUGUCCUUCUCGGCCGUCUGUCCUUCCCAUCGUCUUCCUCCCAGCGUGCACUCCACCGAGUUCCGAUGCAGUCGCCACAACUGAUGAACCGGGCCGCGUCAUCAGCACUGGUACCCGCACUGGACAUGAACGCGCCAGGCAACGGCACUGUGUAUGUCAGCGGCAGUAUGAGCCACGAGCGUCGCCGCAACAUCGCUCCGGACGAGGUGUGUCCGCCAGACACAAUGCUGCGCACGCCACCGCCGACGGCGCGUAACUCCAUGGACGCGGUGUGUGUCGCGGCGCACGCGUCGAGCGAACCUCGGUGUGUCAAGCCUGGCCGCUUGAGUCUCGCCUCCGAGGGCGCUGGCGCAGCUGCCACCAAGCGGCUUCCCCCGCUGGCCGGACUGCUUGCCGCUGCGAAGGGCCCUGCGACAACGCGAGCGAACACCACUAUAUCACGGAGCGCACGGAUUUCACUCGGGUGCAGCCCAGCCACGUCGCCGGCAGCGUCGGCGUCUGUGCGAGACAUGGAGGGCAUGCAAGAGGCCUUGAAGAAGUUCAACGCUCGGGUGCUGGAGGAGAAUGAGAAAGAGAAGGCCCGCAACAGUCGCCGUAGCAGCUGCGCCGCCUCGCGGGAGUCGUCCAUAGUCACGCUACCCGUUGACCAUCCCACAUUGUCGGCGGCCUCCGAGUCACUGCCUAAGUCCAACCCGCUGCAGGCCUCACCCAACAAAGACAAGAAUAAAAGCAGCAGCAGCAGCAGCAGCAGCAGCAGCGGCACGGCCCCGAAGACGUCCAUGAGCAUGGUAUCGUCGGCACCGCGCGUGACGAUGGUGCCGCGGAUUUCACCGCAGUUCUCGCCGCCUCGCAGCAGCACCAACAGCAGCCACUCACCCCUUUCGGCAGCUGCCAACUCUUCGGAGGACGGCAACACUCGUCACCCGGAGGCCUCGCCGCACCUCUUAGCCCAAGAUCCGCACCGCGGGCUGCCGCGCACCGUGCAGCCGGAGCAGCAGCAACUCAGGCCUCUCCGUUCCUUGCCGGCGGGCGCGUUGCAGAGCCAGAUAGGGUCAUCCUCAACCUCGCCGUCGGACGACGUGAGCACGCCGCCCAUCAUCGCCACGCCGCGAUCGGCCAAGAUAGUGGUUGGUAAACCGCAGAUCGCAGCGUUCAAGUUACCACCGUCUCCACGCGCCCCGUCGCCGACUAUGCCGAGCCUCCCAGACCGUUACGCACAAGGCAGCGGCGCAGGCGCACAUAGCAACGCGCGGUCCGCUGCGGGGAGGCCACAGAAAGGGCUGACGCCCUCGAUAUCCCCGCCGCUGGCGGUGGAUCCAGUGUACUCGGCCGUUGAGAUACAAGAGAGCUCAUCGGUGUCGACGGGCUCAUCCGGUGGUCGCUGGGGCCUCUUGAGCGACAGCAAGCGCCCCUAUACCAGCAGCAGCAACAGUUGGCAAGCGACGGCCGACAAGACCACCGUCAACGCCACGUCCGGCUUCAGCGGCGCCGCGGCCUCGCACCCGGUGCGCCAGCCGACGCUGCCCGGACUCCGCAAGAACCAGAACACGGAUGAGUUCGGCAACGUCGGCGAGGAAGCCCCUGCUCCGGAGACACACGCCAAGCCGUCGUACAAUGACGACGCAUCAAGCGGAUGCCCGCCGGGGUCGCCAAGCUGCUCCAGCAAUCUCCACGACGGUGGGCCGCAUCGCCUGUCACACGCCAGCACCAUCGGAGCUGGCGACAACUCCCCACACACGGCGCUGCGUGUCUUCAGCUCUACCGAUGAGCAGCCUGGAAAUAGCAGCCCGAACGGUGCGGCAGCCAAGGAGGCGGCGGCCACCACCGCCGCAACUGCGAAGCCAGCGAAACCCAUCAACAGCGGUCCCGCUGCGGGGCAAAGCCCACCCGGCGCGGCCCCAGUGAAGACCUCGCCGUUGGAUAAUGGCAAUAGUCGUGGUGGCUCGGCCCAGUGCCCGGACUCUGCGCUGAACCACAACGGUCGCUACUCACCGGCGCGUGUCAACUCGAGCGCAACGACGGCCGCCGGACGUAAUGCGAAUGGGCAGAACCGAUCCUCCGCGGACAGCGCGGUCCUGGACAUCGACGCGGAGACAGCUGCGCUCAACUCGUACUUGAAGGAGGAGGACUUGAACCUGUCCAUGUCCACGUUCACCAGCAUCGGUUCAAUUCUCGCCCAGUCGCUGACGCUGCGCGUGCUGAAUCUGAAAGGUAGCACCAUCCCCAGCGAGGGGCUGCGCGGGCUGGCAGAUAUUCCAACGCUCAAGUUGAUCUGCGUAUCACACAUGCGCUGCUUGACAACGCUGGUGCCACUCGUGACGCCGACAACGAGGUCGAACGGCCGGCCCUGCGGGAUCGAGGAGAUCGACGCGCAGUUCUCACCUCUGGAAAACGAGGGUGUUUGGGGUUUGGAGAAGCUGCGGCGGCUGCGCCGACUUGACUUGGGCAUGACCCCGAUUAGCGAUGUAACGUGCCUCUCCGCCAGCCGCUCUCUAAACGACCUCUACCUCAACGGCACACGCGUGGACAGCCAAGGCCUCGCCGGGCUGGAGCGGGUGUCGACGCUGACGCUGCUGAACGUUGCGCGCACCAAGGUGACAUCGCUGAAACAGAUUGCCAAAUCGCGCUCCAUCCAGACACUCAUCGCGUACAGCUGCCACAUCACGGACGACGGGCUCCUUGGCGUCAGCGAGAUGCCGCGACUCAGCACACUCGAUGUGAGCACCACGAAGGUCGCAAACUUGUCCGUGCUGCAGAAGAGCCGCUCUCUCAAGUGGCUGCGCGCCCAGUGGCUCGGCCUCAAGAAUUGCCACGACAUUAUACAGCAGCGGCGGGCGCAGAUGGACGGUGUAACGCCUGACAGUUCCGUGGCUUGGCGCGACACCGAGGCGGGCUUUUCGGGACUCGCCAGCAUUCCGACUCUCGAGUCGAUCGACAUGUCCUUCAACACAAUCCGCAGCUUUCACUCGCUCUGCAACAGCAAAUCACUCAAGCACCUUAUUUUGCGCCGCACGCGCGUCGACAACAGCGGCAUCGGCAGCAUCGCUCAGCUCGCCGGAACCCUCGAGACGCUCGUCAUCACCAAUCUGACUGACAUCCUGGACGACAGCGACAACGAGGAGGCCAACGGUCCGUCGAACGCGGCGAGCGGGCUGCUCAGCAUCAUUGGCGACAUCCCUACGCUGCGUCGCCUCACCUCCCUUGACCUCUCCUUCACAGAUGUCUAUGACCUGCGCCUCCUGCAGGAGCUGCGAGUGCUCCGCGAGCUCAUUAUCGUCGAGACGCUCGUCACUGUUGACGGUCUGCGCGGUAUCGAGAAGAUUCCUACGCUGGAGACGGUGGACAUCUCACAGACGAGCAUCGUAUCGCUACAGUUCCUUGUCGGCGGCGCCCCGUCCCUCAAGAAGAUCCUUGUCAAAUCGAACCGCAACGUGUGCGGCUUCAACCUCGGCCGCAUCGAUCAGCUGCGCGCGCUGCAGCACCUCGACGUCAGCGACACUAUCGUGGAGGAUAUCGAGUCACUGCUGCAGUCAAAGUGGCGACUCCAGACGCUCGUCUGGCGGUGGAAGGAGCGGCGCGACAGCAAGGGGCCGGCGCCGGCGCUAGAGUGCCGCGUGACGUCUCCACGCCUGGUGGGCGUGAACACAAUGCCGUGCUUGACGACGCUUGACCUGACGAACAGUUCCGUGCAAGACCUCGCCUUUCUCGAACGAUCCGCGUCGCUCACGACGCUGUACCUCAAGUGUUGUCGGCUUCUGCGCAACAGCACCAUUAAAUCCCUGGGCACGUUGCCAGCACUCGAAGUGCUCGAGCUGAGCGACAACCGCCACAUUUCAGACGUGACGUGCCUGCGCACCUGCCGUCGUCUGCGAGAGUUGCGCCUCAACCACACAUACGUCACAAAGGCGGGGCUGAAAGGAGUGACCGACCUGCCGGAGCUGAAGGUGCUGGACAUCGCAAAUACGCGCGCCGAGGACGACGUCAAGGACGAGGACGUCAACGGCGCGGUGGAACGCAGCCGCCUGCUAGAAGACUCGAACGUGCGCGAGGGGAGCACGCUGCUGGACAGCUCUGUGGCUCCGGCCCAGUUUCGCGUGCCCCGACGGCGUCGCGUCUCCUUCAUCGCCAACGAUGGCGGCGAGGGCCUUUCACACAAAACGGACCGGCACGAGUAGAUACCCCUGGUCCUUGUGCGCGGAGGGGUGGGGGACGGGCAUUGGCGGUGUCACGGGAAUACCCCCACCCCGCCGUCGCCGCUGCCAUGCGUGCGUGUGUCUGUAUUUGCGUACUUGUGCGCGCGUCUGUUUCUCCAAUGUCCCAGGGACUGCUGUAGCUCGUUAGCCAGUCGUCUCCACCCGACUUGUGUAGAGCACUCGAAGAGAACAGCGGGUGGGAGACGCUGCGUAACAGGAACAGCAAGGCCUGGGAAGGGGUCUGUAACCGCGGCCGUAACGACUUGCUGAAUGUAAGCAUGUAGAUAGGGAGAGAGGUGUCCUUCACACACAUACGCGCGCGCGCACACACACAGCGAUUCUUUGAACGUCUGCUUGUAUCGUGGCCUCUUAAAUGAGGCAUGUAUAUGUCUGCAUACGUCUGUGUCUGUGUCUGUGUGUGUGUGUUCGUGUGCGUGUUGUUUUCCACGCCCCCACCCUCUGCUUUCUCUUAUUCCGGGAGUCGGCAUGCUCCCUCUCCCUCGGUGCGUGUGUGUGCGCGCGCGAAGCGGCGAAGAAGGAGCCAGGGGCGAGGGACGUCUUUGCAGGUGAGUUAUCGCUGCACCUGACUGCCUCCCUCUCCCCUCUUAUCUUCUUCGACCAGAAUGUUUUCCGCAUCAUCCGUGUAUGUGUAUGUGUGCGUGGCUGGCUGGCUCCACCAUCCCUCGGUGGAUCUCUCUCCCACCCCACCCCCUUUGUUUUCCCCACACGUCUAUUGAUCGCAUGACGACAGACGGCGCCCUUUUCCUCCUCUCACUCAACUCUUGCUUGCAUCUCUCCUCCUCUCCCUCAUCCGUUGUGCAAUGUGCGCCGGGGGGGGGGGGGGUCUGCGUGUCUGUAUGGAUGUUGCGGCUACCGCUGCUGCUGUUGCUGCUACGCUUCCCUCCCACCCACCCUCCACUCUCUGGGUUGGGCAUGCCGCACGUUACCCCCACCAAGUCCCUCUCUUUGUCUCUUCCUCUUGCAUGGGGAUGGAGAUGGGUGGGGGUGAGAGCGCACGCGUGGCGGUGGCGAUGAUGUGUGCGCGUGUGUCUAUGCCGAACGAUAUAUGCCUUGAGCACCCCUCCGUCUCCUCCUCGACCUCGUCUCCCUUCCAG